This is a non-coding RNA of Daucus carota subsp. sativus, 238 nucleotides long. The record is from Rfam. NCBI's taxonomy places the organism in Eukaryota, Viridiplantae, Streptophyta, Magnoliopsida, Apiales, Apiaceae.
ACGACCUUACUUGAACAUGAUCUGUUCUAAAGGAUCGUACCUCUGCAUCCUUUAUUUUUAAGGAGGCGGGUCACUGAGUCUGGUUGAUGAAAUGGUACUGCUUGACUAGAGCCUGACUAACAGCUCUUCCUGGUCUGUGUGAAGUGCUGUAAAGGAUCGUUCUCAGCCUGGUUUCGGUAAAGGAUCGUUCUCAGCCUAGUUUCCUGACUGGGGUGGUCAUGCAAUUGUUUGACAGACC